Molecule: ribosomal RNA, 753 nt
Filed under: Triticum aestivum (bread wheat)
Lineage: Eukaryota; Viridiplantae; Streptophyta; Magnoliopsida; Poales; Poaceae
Description: partial small subunit ribosomal RNA
Source: RNAcentral
AUGAUUCCAGGACCUGGAAUCAUACCAGCCGAUGGAUCAACCUGGCAGUCAUGUCGGGUUUGGCCGGGUCAACCUUUACUAGACCCAUGCCCGAUUACUCUAUCGGGUCUAUCUUGCACCCACGACCCUACCCAUGGAAGACAUAGACGUUGUAUUGUGCAUGCAGCGUUCAGUCCUGGCAACAUAAACCAGCGGUCUCCAUUUUAUAGACGGGGCUCCCCCUCCCAUGUGCUCGAACAGGCGAGCGCUCUGUGCAUGGGCCACUUGCUAAAGUCCAAGAAGGAUUGGCCGGUGCUGUCGGCUGGCGUCAAGUUUGAUCCCACGGAUCAGGAGCUGAUCAAGCACCUUAAGGCCAAAGUGAGUGCUGACAGCGCGAGAUCUCACCCUCUCAUCGAUUUGUUCAUACCAACCAUCGACAGCGAGCACGGCAUAUGUUACACCCAUCCUGAGAAACUUCUAGAUGUUAUGAAAAUGCCAACUACGUACACUAAAACCCGUAUUCGACAAUACUGUAGGUAUCACACUAAGUGGCCUAAGAAGCAUUUCUUCCAGUGCAAUUCUAGGGCGUUCAAAAGAGGGACGUGGACGCGUCGCAAGAUACAGUCAGAGUGUGGCAUGCACGCGAUGUGGCACAAGACCGGCAAUACCUUGUCGGUGAUGGUCAACGGCCGGCAGACGGGCAGCAAAAAGGUUCUAGUGCUGCACACCAACAACAACUUUGACCAGCAGAGGACCAACUGGGUGAUGCACUAG